RNAcentral lists this ribosomal RNA (675 nucleotides) under uncultured bacterium. RNAcentral's name for it is "bacterial SSU rRNA". It matches the Rfam family "Bacterial small subunit ribosomal RNA", at positions 94 to 803 of the family's 1533-position model. The record is from RNAcentral.
AGUGGCAGACGGGUGAGUAACAUGUGGGUANCAACCCUUUGGCCUGGAAUAACACGAGGAAACUUGUGCUAAUACCGGAUAAGUCUUUACGGAGAAAGCUUUAUGCACCAUUGGAUGAGCCCGCACUUGAUUAGUUUGUUGGUAGGGUAAUGGCCUACCAAGACUAUGAUCAAUAGCUGAUUUGAGAGGAUGAUCAGCCACAUUGGGACUGAGACACGGCCCAAACUCCUACGGGAGGCAGCAGUGGGGAAUCUUGCACAAUGGAGGAAACUCUGAUGCAGCGAUGCCGCGUGAGUGAAGAAGGCCUUUGGGUUGUAAAGCUCUUUCGUCGGGGAAGAAAAUGACUGUACCCGAAUAAGAAGGUCCGGCUAACUUCGUGCCAGCAGCCGCGGUAAUACGAAGGGACCUAGCGUAGUUCGGAAUUACUGGGCUUAAAGAGUUCGUAGGUGGUUGAAAAAGUUGGUGGUGAAAUCCCAGAGCUUAACUCUGGAACUGCCAUCAAAACUUUUCAGCUAGAGUAUGAUAGAGGAAAGCAGAAUUUCUAGUGUAGAGGUGAAAUUCGUAGAUAUUAGAAAGAAUACCAAUUGCGAAGGCAGCUUUCUGGAUCAUUACUGACACUGAGGAACGAAAGCAUGGGUAGCGAAGAGGAUUAGAUACCCUCGUAGUCCAUGCCGA